UAAAACCAGCACCUCAAGUGGUCAGGAUGAUUAUUGGGCCUAAAGCAUCCGUAGCCUGUUCUGUAAGUUUUCGGUUAAAUCUGUACGCUCAACGUACAGGCCGCCGGGAAUACUGCAGAACUAGGGAGUGGGAGAGGUAGACGGUACUCGGGAGGAAGUGGUAAAAUGCUUUGAUCUCUCGAUGACCACCUGUGGCGAAGGCGGUCUACCAGAACACGUCCGACGGUGAGGGAUGAAAGCUGGGGGAGCAAACCGGAUUAGAUACCCGGGUAGUCCCAGCUGUAAACUAUGCAAACUCAGUGAUGCAUUGGCUUGUGGCCAAUGCAGUGUUGCAGGGAAGCCGUUAAGUUUGCCGCCUGGGAAGUACGUACGCAAGUAUG
This 380-nucleotide ribosomal RNA is filed under the name uncultured Nitrososphaerota archaeon. RNAcentral's name for it is "bacterial SSU rRNA". It matches the Rfam family "Archaeal small subunit ribosomal RNA", at positions 471 to 851 of the family's 1478-position model. The record is from RNAcentral. Lineage: Archaea; Thermoproteati; Nitrososphaerota.